UAAACAAUUUGUUGAAAUUUAAUCCUGAUUUUGCUGAAGCGCAUUAUCUCAGCUACUUAAACAACCUCCGUGUCCAAGAUGUUUUCAGUUCAACACACAGUCUCCUCCAUUAUUUUGAUCGUCUGAUUCUUACCGGAGCCGAAAGCAAAAGUAAUGGGGAAGAGGGCUAUGGCCGGAGCUUGAGAUACGCCGCUCUGAAUCUUGCCGCCCUGCACUGCCGCUUCGGUCACUAUCAACAGGCAGAGCUCGCCCUGCAGGAGGCAAUUAGGAUUGCCCAGGAGUCCAACGAUCACGUGUGUCUCCAGCACUGUUUGAGCUGGCUUUAUGUGCUGGGGCAGAAGAGAUCCGAUAGCUAUGUUCUGCUGGAGCAUUCUGUGAAGAAGGCAGUACAUUUUGGGUUACCGAGAGCUUUUGCUGGGAAGACGGCAAACAAGCUGAUGGAUGCCCUAAAGGACUCUGACCUCCUGCACUGGAAACACAGCCUGUCAGAGCUCAUCGAUAUCAGCAUCGCACAGAAAACGGCCAUCUGGAGGCUGUAUGGCCGCAGCACCAUGGCACUGCAACAGGCCCAGAUGUUGCUGAGCAUGAACAGCCUGGAGGCGGUGAAUGCGGGCGUGCAGCAGAACAACACGGAGUCCUUUGCUGUCGCACUCUGCCACCUCGCAGAGCUACACGCGGAGCAGGGCUGUUUUGCUGCAGCUUCUGAAGUGUUAAAGCACUUGAAGGAACGAUUUCCGCCUAAUAGUCAGCACGCCCAGUUAUGGAUGCUAUGUGAUCAAAAAAUACAGUUUGACAGAGCAAUGAAUGAUGGCAAAUAUCAUUUGGCUGAUUCACUUGUUACAGGAAUCACAGCUCUCAAUAGCAUAGAGGGUGUUUAUAGGAAAGCGGUUGUAUUACAAGCUCAGAACCAAAUGUCAGAGGCACAUAAGCUUUUACAAAAAUUGUUGGUUCAUUGUCAGAAACUGAAGAACACAGAAAUGGUGAUCAGGCUCUGGCCCUCUCCAAGGAGUACCGGUUACAGUACUUGGCCUCUGAAACAGUGCUGAACUUGGCUUUUGCGCAGGUAGUCUUCAUGUGCAAGCCCUCCAGGGAAGCCUGUGGAGGUGUGAACCUGGUGACAAACUGACACCUUCCAGUGGCACUGGCUUUCCUGAGCUGUGUAUUCAGUAAGGAGGACUCGCCUCUUCAGUGAGAACACCUGCAUCAUAUUAAUGACACAGAGUGAUGCUUGAUUUAACAACAAGGGGAUGUGAAUAAAGAAAUGAGGAACACAGAUGUUCACUGAAAGCUUUUGGAAAUCAAAUUGUAUUUUAUGUUUGU
This 1320-nucleotide small RNA is filed under the name Pongo abelii (Sumatran orangutan). RNAcentral's name for it is "processed transcript". Lineage: Eukaryota; Metazoa; Chordata; Mammalia; Primates; Hominidae. The record is from RNAcentral.